AUGUCCUGGAGCCUUGCUUUAUAUUUUCUCAUCUGUUUCUCAGGAACUUCAGCUACAAAAGAAAACACGGUUAAACAUGAGCUAAUUGUUAUCAUUGCUGAGGAAGGCGAUUCUGUCAAUAUGACAUGUGACUUUAACAAUCCAAAACUGAUAGGUGUAUAUUUGAAACGAAUCCUGGGAAAUCCUAUGAAUGUGAUAUAUGCUACAGCAUAUGGAAAAGACAAGACUGAAGCUCCCGAAUAUAAAAAUCGCACAGAAUAUUUUCAGCUGAACAACACAGUGAUGAUUACACUGCGACAGGUGAAGAAGAAUGAUAGUGAUGCAUAUGUGUGUGAGGGAGCCCUGCUAAGAAACAAUUUGCCUCAUACAAUGAAUAGCAGCAGUAUCAUUUUAGCAGUGAAAGCCUCAGAAAAGACAGAGUAUUCCUCAUCUCCCUGGAUGCUGUAUACCCUCAUCUUCCUGUCCUUGCUGGUAGUUUUUAUACUGGGAUGCUUUUCUCUCUCUCAUAUAAAUGUCAAGAAAUACUGCAAAAAAGAAAAGGGGCAGGAAUUGCAAAAUAUAGUCUAUGAAGAUAUGACUUGCAGCUUGAGACCCAACACAAAGACUACAUCAAAUGUGUACAGUGCACAAUGAAUACUAUUGCUGAAGGCUUCUGGAAUUCCAAUUCAUUUCUCUAUUUGUUUUGAGAUUUGCAAUUCAUUUUGGGAGGUGUAUCCAAAUGUGUAUAAUUCAUGCAGUGGUUAGUAUAUUUAAUACAAGAGUAUUUUCACACCAUGAAAUUAUAGCACCUUGAUUUCACUUUGACAGCUGUGGUUCUGUCCAAUGGUAUCCUAUCCUAGCUGUUUGCAGAGGGUUAUUUAGGGUCCUCAGCCGGGUAUGUGGCUCUGAGCAAACCAAAGAGAUUGUGCAUUUCAUAUACAGCCAGUAUAAUUAAAAUGGAAUAAUUGUGCUAUAAUUACAUAGUGUGAAAAGUCCCUUUAUCUGUAUUGGCUGAUUAGAAUUUGAUGCUCAAAAUGUACACACUAAUGAGACUUUUAUGCUUCAAACUGAAUGGAGGUUCAAUAGAAGAGGGUCAAGAGAUCUUUCCUUGUAGUUAUAGACUGUUUUUAAAAAGUGAUACCAUUCUUAGGACACUCUGGGCCCUUCCAGACAGACCCUAUAUUCCAGGAUCAGAUCCCAGGUUUUCUGUUUAUCCCAGAUUAUCUGGCAAUGAGGAAUCAUAUAAUCCAUAGCAUGCAUUAUUGACCACAUUUAAUUUUGCAUUUAAGAGAGAAAGUGAAAUAGUUACUAUAGUUUUAAGGUGUAGAAUUCUUUCUGAUAAUUUAAACAACUUUGAUUUCAAACUGCAGUCAUCGUACUGGAAUGAGAUUAGAAACUAUUAAAUAUAGGAUAUGUUGUCAAAGGCUUUCAUGGCUGGAAUCACUGGGUUGCUGUGAGUUUUCUGGCCUGUAUGGCCAUGUUCCAGAAGCAUUCUCUCCUGACAUUUCACCUACAUCUAUGGCAGACAUCUUCAGAGGUUGUGGAAAACUCACAGCAACCCAGAUAUAGGAUAUUUACUGGGUUUAUCUAAUAAUGAUGAUAUGUUCAAAAUUUUGCUUAGAUGUUUAGGAGUUCUAGCUUUAUAAUUUUUCCUGUUGCAGACCAUUCUUUAUACAUUGCCUUGUAAUACUAGAUAAGACGGAGGCAACUGGAAUUGCAGUUAAAUGUAUAGACAUUGAUAUAUGUUACAGAGUUGUGCAGCUGUUUGUAAAUGGCUUGGCUAAACAAGCAGAGUGAUGCAUUGAGUUUUUGUUCAUGCAUGGCAGCCUUCAUAUAAUGUUGGAGCUAAUGUAAGAUUAUUUGUUUUGAUGAAGUAUGAGAAGUGAAAAAUAAAAUAUUACUUUUGAUGAAGCAAAGGAAAUGACUUCACUAUUAAAAGUGGUACAAAAUAUAGCAGUAUUUUAUAGUAAAUAUUGCCUGGUGGUGAUAUGUGAAAUGGGAUGCUGAGGAUGAUAUGGGCUGUGAACCAUAUGUAAGUGGUCUGCAUCCCACAAACACAGUGGAUUUUGUUUGUGUGGGAAAAGCACCAUAUUGUCCCCAAUGUAACAGGGUCUACUAGUGCUGGGAGUCUGCAAUUUCUCAGGCACAGGGGGAUGCUUAAAUUGUUUUGUAACUGUUGCACAGACUCUUUCCUAAGCUUUGCUGAAUAAGUUUACUAGGAUGCUUUUGGUGUUUCCAGGUGUGGAAGAAGCAAAUGUCUCAGAACUCCUAUUUUGUCUUUGUUCCAGAUGUUCAAAAUAUAAUCUACCUUCCUCCUUUGCAGUUGAAUGAAUGAGCUCUCAGGCCUAAACUUCACUGCCAUCUAAUUCAGUGUAACAAUUGUAUUAGCCUGGUGCAUCCACAUGACACACAUGCUAAUGUGAUUGAAAUCAUGGUAAGACAAUUUAGCUUGAUCCCAGGUUUUUUUUUAAAACAUCUAGAGAGAUCUGACUCAUUCAGGAGGAUUCAGACCUUUCCCAGUUUUGGGGCAGAGGAUAUUGAAAUUUUGGAUCUCCAUGCGGGAUCUGAGAUUGUGUUCCCACAGUUCUGGGAAUGGCGCAGCAAUAAACUUGGAAGGCUGGAGUUGGUCCACCCUUGCUUUUGUUGUCGUUGCGGUUGUUGAGUGCCUUCAAGUCAUUUCUAACUCAUAGCAACCCUAAGGUAAAUCUGUCAUGCUGUCAGGAUCCAGAACUCUGCCAGUAUGCAGGCAGAGCUUAACCAAGACAAACACCCGGCUUGUGUCAGCUAUUUUACUUAAAGCAGUAAACCUAAAGCACUUGGGUGAUUCAAGGUCUAAGUUCAAACAUACUCAGAUUUAUUUAUUUAUUUCGUGUCAAAAGCAUUGCAUAAUAAAUAAGUUUAAAAGUGAUGAAAUAAAGGAAAUCACAAGCAGCUAAAUAAUUUUAGACCAAAAGCGGGCAACAGCAACCGCAUUGUCCAUAGCUUUAAACAACUCCUCCUCCGUAUAUGAGGCAGGACAUUGUGGGCAAGCAUACAUAUGCGGAGUUGUUUGUUCUGCUCCACAGUCACACAAGGUGGAGGAUUCCUCCAGAUAAUGCCAUCUUGCCAGAUUGUCUUUUGAUCUGUCCACUCUGCUUCUCAGUCUGUUCAGGGACUCCCAAGUGGCCCAUUCUUGGUUUGCCCCUGGAGGAAGACCCUCAUGGGGGGGCAUCCAGUUGAGAUUGCCUGGUUUAGCUGCCCAGAGGGACACUCUUGCUGUUGCUGGAGGAACAUCAAAAGGAGUGGUGGUUCUCAUGAAGCCCUUCCUUGAUUUGAGUCUGGUGGGAGGAGGCUGAUAGCCAUGCAGUGGAUGGCUUUCACAAUGUUCGACCCUAUUUCUCUCACAGUUAGUAGUAACUUCCCAUCGCAUAUUUGUGGGGGGGGGGGCAAUGCCAGCUAACUUGUAGAGUUUAUCAACAGGUGUAGGUUUAAGGCAUCCUGUGAUUAUUCUGCAAGCUUAUUGCAUAACAAGCAGAUUUCAGACCAGGGAAAAACUGUACAGGUCAAAUUUUUCAUCUGACUGAGCAUAUUGAGGAAGGCUAUGAGAAUGGCUGCAUUACAGGAACAGUUUUUGUGG
Anolis carolinensis (green anole) is the source of this 3595-nucleotide long non-coding RNA. The record is from Ensembl. NCBI's taxonomy places the organism in Eukaryota, Metazoa, Chordata, Lepidosauria, Squamata, Anolidae.